RNAcentral lists this transfer RNA (75 nucleotides) under Pseudomonadota bacterium. RNAcentral describes it as "Proteobacteria bacterium (sediment metagenome) tRNA-Thr". It matches the Rfam family "tRNA". From Rfam's summary of the family: Transfer RNA (tRNA) molecules are approximately 80 nucleotides in length. Their secondary structure includes four short double-helical elements and three loops (D, anti-codon, and T loops). Further hydrogen bonds mediate the characteristic L-shaped molecular structure. tRNAs have two regions of fundamental functional importance: the anti-codon, which is responsible for specific mRNA codon recognition, and the 3' end, to which the tRNAs corresponding amino acid is attached (by aminoacyl-tRNA synthetases). tRNAs cope with the degeneracy of the genetic code in two manners: having more than one tRNA (with a specific anti-codon) for a particular amino acid; and 'wobble' base-pairing, i.e. permitting non-standard base-pairing at the 3rd anti-codon position. The record is from RNAcentral. Lineage: Bacteria; Pseudomonadati; Pseudomonadota.
GCCGCCGUAGCUCAGUGGUAGAGCGUUCCCUUGGUAAGGGAGAGGUCGGCAGUUCAAUCCUGCCCGGCGGCACCA